Molecule: ribosomal RNA, 496 nt
Filed under: uncultured bacterium
Lineage: Bacteria
Description: partial 16S ribosomal RNA
Rfam family: Bacterial small subunit ribosomal RNA
Source: RNAcentral
GACGAACGCUGGCGGCGUGCCUAAUACAUGCAAGUAGAACGCUGAAGAGAGGAGCUUGCUCUUCUUGGAUGAGUUGCGAACGGGUGAGUAACGCGUAGGUAACCUGCCUGGUAGCGGGGGAUAACUAUUGGAAACGAUAGCUAAUACCGCAUAAAAUUGAUUAUUGCAUGAUAAUUAAUUGAAAGAUGCAACUGCAUCACUACCAGAUGGACCUGCGUUGUAUUAGCUAGUUGGUGAGGUAACGGCUCACCAAGGCGACGAUACAUGGCCGACCUGAGAGGGUGAUCGGCCACACUGGGACUGAGACACGGCCCAGACUCCUACGGGAGGCAGCAGUAGGGAAUCUUCGGCAAUGGGGGGAACCCUGACCGAGCAACGCCGCGUGAGUGAAGAAGGUUUUCGGAUCGUAAAGCUCUGUUGUAAGAGAAGAACGGGUGUGAGAGUGGAAAGUUCACACUGUGACGGUAUCGUACCAGAAAGGGACGGCUAACUACGU